RNAcentral lists this transfer RNA (60 nucleotides) under Colpocephalum eucarenum. RNAcentral describes it as "tRNA-Ser". Lineage: Eukaryota; Metazoa; Arthropoda; Insecta; Psocodea; Menoponidae. The record is from RNAcentral.
AGAAGUAAUAAAAUUUCAGCUUCUAACUGAAAAUAGAUUUUAAAAUAAAUCUUACUUCUA